RNAcentral lists this ribosomal RNA (254 nucleotides) under uncultured bacterium. RNAcentral's name for it is "partial 16S ribosomal RNA". It matches the Rfam family "Bacterial small subunit ribosomal RNA", at positions 524 to 776 of the family's 1533-position model. The record is from RNAcentral.
UACGUAGGGUGCGAGCGUUGUCCGAAUUCAUUGGGCGUAAAGCGCGUGUAGGCGGACUUCCAAGCCUGAGGUGAAAGGUUGGGGCUCAACCCCAUACAGUGCCUUGGGGACUGGUUGUCUGGAGGCAGGCAGAGGUAUGUGGAAUUCCUGGUGUAGCGGUGGAAUGCGUAGAUAUCAGGAGGAACACCCAUGGCGAAGGCAGCAUACUGGGCCUGUACUGACGCUGAGACGCGAAAGCGUGGGUAGCAAACGGG